Molecule: ribosomal RNA, 324 nt
Filed under: uncultured bacterium
Lineage: Bacteria
Description: bacterial SSU rRNA
Rfam family: Bacterial small subunit ribosomal RNA
Source: RNAcentral
AGGGUUUGAUUAUGGCUCAGAUUGAACGCUGGCGGCAGGCCUAACACAUGCAAGUCGAGCGGAUGAAGGGGGCUUGCUCCUGGAUUCAGCGGCGGACGGGUGAGUAAUGCCUAGGAAUCUGCCUGGUAGUGGGGGAUAACGUCCGGAAACGGGCGCUAAUACCGCAUACGUCCUGAGGGAGAAAGUGGGGGAUCUUCGGACCUCACGCUAUCAGAUGAGCCUAGGUCGGAUUAGCUAGUUGGUGGGGUAAAGGCCUACCAAGGCGACGAUCCGUAACUGGUCUGAGAGGAUGAUCAGUCACACUGGAACUGAGACACGGUCCAG